AUUGAACGCUGGCGGCAUGCCUUACACAUGCAAGUCGAACGGUAACAGGUCUUCGGAUGCUGACGAGUGGCGAACGGGUGAGUAAUACAUCGGAACGUGCCUAGUAGUGGGGGAUAACUACUCGAAAGAGUGGCUAAUACCGCAUGAGAUCUACGGAUGAAAGCAGGGGAUCGCAAGACCUUGUGCUACUAGAGCGGCCGAUGGCAGAUUAGGUAGUUGGUGGGAUAAAAGCUUACCAAGCCGACGAUCUGUAGCUGGGCUGAGAGGACGAUCAGCCACACUGGGACUGAGACACGGCCCAGACUCCUACGGGAGGCAGCAGUGGAGAAUUUUGGACAAUGGGCGAAAGCCUGAUCCAGCAAUGCCGCGCGCAGGAUGAAGGCCUUCGGGUUGUAAACUGCUUUUGUACGGAACGAAAAGCCCCGGGUUAAUACCCUGGGGUCAUGACGGUACCGUAAGAAUAAGCACCGGCUAACUACGUGCCAGCCGCCGCAGUAA
Molecule: ribosomal RNA, 498 nt
Filed under: uncultured bacterium
Lineage: Bacteria
Description: partial 16S ribosomal RNA
Rfam family: Bacterial small subunit ribosomal RNA
Source: RNAcentral